This 99-nucleotide ribosomal RNA is filed under the name Desulfovibrio sp. The record is from RNAcentral. Lineage: Bacteria; Pseudomonadati; Thermodesulfobacteriota; Desulfovibrionia; Desulfovibrionales; Desulfovibrionaceae.
AGGGGGUACACCCGGUCCCAUUCCGAACCCGGAAGUUAAGCCCUUCAUCGCCGAUGAUACUGCAUGCCCUACAUGUGGGAAGGUAGGCCGGCGCCAACA